GCAGAUUCCGUGAUCAUCGAAUCUUUGAACGCACCUUGCGCUCUAUGGCAAUCCGUAGAGCAUGCCUGUUUGAGUGCCAUGAAAUCUCCCACCCCAAGCGGUUUUUAAAUGAAACGGCUUGGCGGAUGGGGUCUGGAUGGGUGCCUCUGCCUGCGCUACCUAGCACAGGCUCGCCCGAAAUGCAUGAGCGCCUUGAGACACUUUGCAUCCGCCUCUCUGUUUGGGAGGAGGCGGCCAAGCAGUGUUUUUUUUCUUGGCUGGGCUUGAUACGUCUUUUGCUUUGCCCCCUAAAGGAGGAAGGUUGGGUUGGGUUGGCUUGGGCUUCGAAUUUGCCUUUGGGCCCCUUCCCAUUUUCCUUUCGGUCUUCAAUUCAGGUAGGAUACCCCGCUAACUUUAACCUAACCAAUAACCGAAGAAA
RNAcentral lists this unclassified non-coding RNA (418 nucleotides) under Malassezia restricta. RNAcentral describes it as "sequence contains ITS2". The stretch from base 1 to 79 matches the Rfam family "5.8S ribosomal RNA", at positions 74 to 154 of the family's 154-position model. Lineage: Eukaryota; Fungi; Basidiomycota; Malasseziomycetes; Malasseziales; Malasseziaceae. The record is from RNAcentral.